UGGGGAAUAUUGCACAAUGGGCGCAAGCCUGAUGCAGCCAUGCCGCGUGUAUGAAGAAGGCCUUCGGGUUGUAAAGUACUUUCAGCGGGGAGGAAGGGAGUAAAGUUAAUACCUUUGCUCAUUGACGUUACCCGCAGAAGAAGCACCGGCUAACUCCGUGCCAGCAGCCGCGGUAAUACGGAGGGUGCAAGCGUUAAUCGGAAUUACUGGGCGUAAAGCGCACGCAGGCGGUUUGUUAAGUCAGAUGUGAAAUCCCCGGGCUCAACCUGGGAACUGCAUCUGAUACUGGCAAGCUUGAGUCUCGUAGAGGGGGGUAGAAUUCCAGGUGUAGCGGUGAAAUGCGUAGAGAUCUGGAGGAAUACCGGUGGAGAAGGCGGCCCCCUGGACGAAGACUGACGCUCAGGUGCGAAAGCGUGGGGAGCAAACAGG
This 429-nucleotide ribosomal RNA is filed under the name Chloroflexota bacterium. Its description in RNAcentral is "Chloroflexi bacterium partial 16S ribosomal RNA". It matches the Rfam family "Bacterial small subunit ribosomal RNA", at positions 355 to 776 of the family's 1533-position model. RNAcentral also lists the same sequence under 1 other name. Lineage: Bacteria; Bacillati; Chloroflexota. The record is from RNAcentral.